Molecule: ribosomal RNA, 458 nt
Filed under: uncultured bacterium
Lineage: Bacteria
Description: bacterial SSU rRNA
Rfam family: Bacterial small subunit ribosomal RNA
Source: RNAcentral
GGGCUUGACAUCCCACGAACCUGGCUGAGAGGCUGGGGUGCCGAAAGGAACACAGAGACAGGUGCUGCAUGGCUGUCGUCAGCUCGUGUUGUGAGAUGUUGGGUUAAGUCCCGUAACGAACGCAACCCUUGUCCUUAGUUGCCAUCAGGUUAAGCUGGGCACUCUGCGGAGACUGCCGGUGACAAACCGGAGGAAGGUGGGGAUGACGUCAAGUCAGCAUGGCCUUUAUGUCCGGGGCUACACACGUGCUACAAUGGCCGAUACAAACCGCCGCAAACUCGCAAGGGUGAGCUAAUCGGAGAAAGUCGGUCUCAGUUCGGAUUGUAGGCUGCAACUCACCUGCAUGAAGUCGGAAUCGCUAGUAAUCGCGGAUCAGCACGCCGCGGUGAAUACGUUCCCGGGCCUUGUACACACCGCCCGUCACAUCACGAAAGCUGGCUGUACUCGAAGUCGCUGAG